Molecule: ribosomal RNA, 336 nt
Filed under: uncultured bacterium
Lineage: Bacteria
Description: bacterial SSU rRNA
Rfam family: Bacterial small subunit ribosomal RNA
Source: RNAcentral
CCUUCGGACUGAAAGCAAGGUGCUGCAUGGCUGUCGUCAGCUCGUGCCGUGAGGUGUUGGGUUAAGUCCGNNAACGAGCGCAACCCCUACCAUUAGUUGCCAUCAGGUUAUGCUGGGGACUCUAAUGGGACUGCCGGUGCAAACCGAGAGGAAGGUGGGGACGACGUCAAGUCAUCAUGGCCCUUANGCCCAGGGCGACACACGUGCUACAAUGGUACAUACAGAGGGUAGCGAACCUGUGAGGGUAAGCCAAUCUCAGAAAGUGUAUCUCAGUUCGGAUCGGAGUCUGCAACUCGACUCCGUGAAGUCGGAAUCGCUAGUAAUCGCGCAUCAGCC